Molecule: small RNA, 129 nt
Filed under: Salmonella enterica subsp. enterica serovar Infantis
Lineage: Bacteria; Pseudomonadati; Pseudomonadota; Gammaproteobacteria; Enterobacterales; Enterobacteriaceae
Also listed under: 4 other names
Description: RtT sRNA
Rfam family: RtT RNA
About the family: This family represents a bacterial cis-regulatory element known as RtT RNA.
Source: RNAcentral
UCUCUCUGUACGGGAAGGAUGAGAAGCUUCGACUAAGGUUCGAUUCGAGCGAAAGCGAGAAAGCGUUGCCGCAGGCAACGACCCGAAGGGCGAAACGCGCAGCGCUGAGUCAUCCUUCCCCCACCACCA